AUAUACUGACAGUAUGACAAUAUAGUGGUUUCUGUGACAUGAGAAAUACUUUUGAAUGAGUACGUAGUUCCGCUCACAGUUGAGUAGGCGGUCCAUAAUGUGGCCCAGG
This is a long non-coding RNA of Sander lucioperca (pikeperch), 109 nucleotides long. RefSeq lists it as uncharacterized. The transcript is spliced from 4 exons. NCBI's taxonomy places the organism in Eukaryota, Metazoa, Chordata, Actinopteri, Perciformes, Percidae. The record is from RefSeq and is a predicted model, not a curated record.